CCUACGGGAGGCUGCAGUGGGGAAUAUUGGACAAUGGGGGCAACCCUGAUCCAGCCAUGCCGCGUGUGUGAAGAAGGCCCUCGGGUUGUAAAGCACUUUCAGUGAGGAAGAACGCCUGGUGGUUAAUACCCAUCAGGAAAGACAUCACUCACAGAAGAAGCACCGGCUAACUCCGUGCCAGCAGCCGCGGUAAUACGGAGGGUGCGAGCGUUAAUCGGAAUUACUGGGCGUAAAGCGCGCGUAGGUGGCUUGAUAAGCCGGUUGUGAAAGCCCCGGGCGUAACCUGGGAACGGCAUCCGGAACUGUCAAGCUAGAGUGCAGGAGAGGAAGGUAGAAUUCCCGGUGUAGCGGUGAAAUGCGUAGAGAUCGGGAGGAAUACCAGUGGCGAAGGCGGCCUUCUGGACUGACACUGACACUGAGGUGCGAAAGCGUGGGUAGCAAACAGGAUUAGAUACCCUUGUAGUC
RNAcentral lists this ribosomal RNA (465 nucleotides) under Vreelandella stevensii. Its description in RNAcentral is "partial 16S ribosomal RNA". It matches the Rfam family "Bacterial small subunit ribosomal RNA", at positions 338 to 795 of the family's 1533-position model. Lineage: Bacteria; Pseudomonadati; Pseudomonadota; Gammaproteobacteria; Oceanospirillales; Halomonadaceae. The record is from RNAcentral.